CUUGCACCUCUAGCACUUCAAAUUUUUUGCCUUCUGCAUAUGCCCACGUCCAGUAAUGACCAGGGAAGUGCUUCCAGUAUCGAUUUGGGGGUUAAAAUAAAUUUUAGGGACUAGACGAAUUUGCAAAUAACCAACUGUAGUAAUUAGAUGGAAAUGAGCAGUUAAUGUGGUCAAGCUGUUUGCAGCUUCUGUGGCAUGGACUCUGCCUUCAGCAGAACGACCAUGGAGGAGGGAAGACAGCAGAGGUGAGAAAACCACUAUCAUACAUGGGUGCAGAAGCCUGGAUCUGGACAACAAGGAGCAGUCGUAGUCAGUGAGAUGCUCACUGCUAAGGGCUGGCCGAGUGGUACGUUGGUUAAGAGCUGGCUUGGG
This is a long non-coding RNA of Hipposideros armiger (great roundleaf bat), 372 nucleotides long. RefSeq lists it as uncharacterized. Lineage: Eukaryota; Metazoa; Chordata; Mammalia; Chiroptera; Hipposideridae. The transcript has 3 exons. The record is from RefSeq and is a predicted model, not a curated record.